This 530-nucleotide ribosomal RNA is filed under the name Escherichia coli. Its description in RNAcentral is "bacterial SSU rRNA". It matches the Rfam family "Bacterial small subunit ribosomal RNA", at positions 1014 to 1533 of the family's 1533-position model. Lineage: Bacteria; Pseudomonadati; Pseudomonadota; Gammaproteobacteria; Enterobacterales; Enterobacteriaceae. The record is from RNAcentral.
UGCCUUCGGGAACUGUGAGACAGGUGCUGCAUGGCUGUCGUCAGCUCGUGUUGUGAAAUGUUGGGUUAAGUCCCGCAACGAGCGCAACCCUUAUCCUUUGUUGCCAGCGGUCCGGCCGGGAACUCAAAGGAGACUGCCAGUGAUAAACUGGAGGAAGGUGGGGAUGACGUCAAGUCAUCAUGGCCCUUACGACCAGGGCUACACACGUGCUACAAUGGCGCAUACAAAGAGAAGCGACCUCGCGAGAGCAAGCGGAUCUCAUAAAGUGCGUCGUAGUCCGGAUUGGAGUCUGCAACUCGACUCCAUGAAGUCGGAAUCGCUAGUAAUCGUGGAUCAGAAUGCCACGGUGAAUACGUUCCCGGGCCUUGUACACACCGCCCGUCACACCAUGGGAGUGGGUUGCAAAAGAAGUAGGUAGCUUAACCUUCGGGAGGGCGCUUACCACUUUGUGAUUCAUGACUGGGGUGAAGUCGUAACAAGGUAACCGUAGGGGAACCUGCGGUUGGAUCACCUCCUUACCUUAAAGAAGC